UGUCAGCAGUGGAAUGAAAUUCCUCCGUGACUUGUUUUAUUCUUUUCCAUUACUUUCACUUUAGCAACAUAUAAGAACAUUAUUUGGCAACAUUGUAUCCUAACUCUAUAAACAUGUUGUUAGACACAUAGAAUGUGUCUGUAUUGAACUUACGUACUAAAUACAAUAAAUACUUAUACUAAAAUACUAAAAGACUAAAAGUACUAAUUCCCUAAUAAUACUAAAUUGCUUUAACAACUUAAAACUGUCAGUGUGGCAACACUGCAUAGGUGGCAACGCUACGCAAUAUACAGUUAGAUUUGACUACAUGUGCUCUGCAUAUACAUUUUUUUUUUUUUCCCGUCGCAACGUGGAAAUCGAAAACUUUUUAACAGAGAUUUAUGUCGAAAUUGCUAUCAGAUUUGAUAAUUGCGCUCAGAGGUCGCGCUUUUCUAUGCGCCAGGCGCCGCCAGCCAUGUACAGGCCGCCACACAGGCGCCGACGCAUUCAUUUGCUGAUGCGCAAUAAGCCUCGCAUGGGCAUUUGACCGCAUCCGACGACGCCUCCGCUGGCUUAUUGGAUUGUGCUGCCGCUUCUUAUGGACACCACUAUGCAGACAGGAGUCGCUGCAUAUAAAAGUGUCGUGCGCAUGGUGUGCAUUUUGGAUUCCAUAUGGGCCACGCUCAGUCGGCCAGUUUGGACUUCUUCGAGGCCGGAGCAUGGCCAUUGACCAUUGCAGCUCCGUCUGCAGGGGCGCCCGCACGAGUUCCGCGUGUGCUGGGAGGCAGGUAUGGCUGCUGUGAAAAACAUCGGAUAUGGCCCAGCCACAGCCAGUGCCUCCUGGCCGA
This 827-nucleotide small RNA is filed under the name Drosophila virilis. Its description in RNAcentral is "GJ26248". The record is from RNAcentral. Lineage: Eukaryota; Metazoa; Arthropoda; Insecta; Diptera; Drosophilidae.